Molecule: ribosomal RNA, 775 nt
Filed under: uncultured Neocallimastigales
Lineage: Eukaryota; Fungi; Neocallimastigomycota; Neocallimastigomycetes; Neocallimastigales
Description: partial large subunit ribosomal RNA
Rfam family: Eukaryotic large subunit ribosomal RNA
Source: RNAcentral
GUAGUCUCGCACAGAUGCAUAUCAAUAAGCGGAGGAAAAGAAACUAACAAGGAUUCCCCUAGUAACGGCGAGUGAAGCGGGAAGAGCUCAAAUUUGAAAUCUUAAAGGGUUUCCCUUUACGAAUUGUAGUUUAAAGAAGUGUUUUCUGUUGAGGUUUUGGUAAAAGUUCUUUGGAAUAGGACAUCAUAGAGGGUGAGAAUCCCGUAUUUGACCUUUACUUUCAACUUUGUGAUACACUUUCAAAGAGUCGGAUUGUUUGGGAAUGCAGUCCAAAAUGGGUGGUAAAUUUCAUCUAAAGCUAAAUAUUGGCGAGAGACCGAUAGCGAACAAGUACCGUGAGGGAAAGAUGAAAAGGAACUUUGAAAAGAGAGUUAAACAGUACGUGAAAUUGUCAAAAGGGAAGCGUUUGACACCAGUGUUGUUUUUCUGAAAAUCAAUUAAAGAACUGUUUAUGCUAAGCUGUUUAGACUUUAUCAGCUAACUGUUUAGUUUUGAGCUUUUCUUUAAUGCACUUUUCAGUUAACAAGUCAACAUCAAUCUCUUUUGCUGUAAAAAAGCUUGAGGAAGGUGGCUUGAGAUUCGUCUUAAGUGUUUAUAGCCUCUUGCCUAUGCAGUCGGGAGAGAUUGAGGUCUGCAGCGUAGAUCCUUCGGGGCUAAAUGCAUUUGUGCUAAGUUAUAGCAUUUUAUAGACAACUUGUUGACUAUGAUUUGUCUUGUAGCUUACUCGCUUAUGUUAUUUUACCUACGCUUAGGAUGUUGAAGACUCUACAGAGAU